Molecule: ribosomal RNA, 946 nt
Filed under: Fomitopsis mounceae
Lineage: Eukaryota; Fungi; Basidiomycota; Agaricomycetes; Polyporales; Fomitopsidaceae
Description: partial large subunit ribosomal RNA
Rfam family: Eukaryotic large subunit ribosomal RNA
Source: RNAcentral
CAAAUCAGGUAGGAUUACCCGCUGAACUUAAGCAUAUCAAUAAGCGGAGGAAAAGAAACUAACAAGGAUUCCCCUAGUAACUGCGAGUGAAGCGGGAAAAGCUCAAAUUUAAAAUCUGGCGGUCUUUGGCCGUCCGAGUUGUAGUCUGGAGAAGUGCUUUCCGCGCUGGACCGUGUACAAGUCUCUUGGAACAGAGCGUCAUAGAGGGUGAGAAUCCCGUCUUUGACACGGACUACCAGUGCUUUGUGAUGUGCUCUCAAAGAGUCGAGUUGUUUGGGAAUGCAGCUCAAAAUGGGUGGUAAAUUCCAUCUAAAGCUAAAUAUUGGCGAGAGACCGAUAGCGAACAAGUACCGUGAGGGAAAGAUGAAAAGCACUUUGGAAAGAGAGUUAAACAGUACGUGAAAUUGCUGAAAGGGAAACGCUUGAAGUCAGUCGCGUUGGCCAGGACUCAGCCUUGCUUAUUUGCUUGGUGCAUUUUCUGGUUGACGGGCCAGCAUCGAUUUUGACCGCUGGAAAAAGAUUAGGGGAAUGUGGCACCUUCGGGUGUGUUAUAGCCCUUAGUCACAUACAGUGGUUGGGAUCGAGGACCGCAGCACGCCUUUAUGGCCGGGGUUCGCCCACGUUCGUGCUUAGGAUGCUGGCGUAAUGGCUUUAAACGACCCGUCUUGAAACACGGACCAAGGAGUCUAACAUGCCUGCGAGUGUUUGGGUGGAAAACCCGAGCGCGUAAUGAAAGUGAAAGUUGAGAUCCCUGUCGUNGGGGAGCAUCGACGCCCGGACCUGAACUUCGGUGAUGGAUCUGCGGUAGAGCAUGUAUGUUGGGACCCGAAAGAUGGUGAACUAUGCCUGAAUAGGGUGAAGCCAGAGGAAACUCUGGUGGAGGCUCGUAGCGAUUCUGACGUGCAAAUCGAUCGUCAAAUUUGGGUAUAGGGGCGAAAGACUAAUC